GCGUUAAUAGAAUAAAGGUAGAAUAUUUGCCUUCCAAGCAAAUGGCCCGGGUUCGAUUACCGGUUAACGCA
Molecule: transfer RNA, 71 nt
Filed under: Neocallimastix californiae
Lineage: Eukaryota; Fungi; Neocallimastigomycota; Neocallimastigomycetes; Neocallimastigales; Neocallimastigaceae
Also listed under: 2 other names
Rfam family: tRNA
About the family: Transfer RNA (tRNA) molecules are approximately 80 nucleotides in length. Their secondary structure includes four short double-helical elements and three loops (D, anti-codon, and T loops).
Source: Rfam by way of RNAcentral